CUGGUCCGAUGGUAGUGAGUUAUCUCAAUU
RNAcentral lists this non-coding RNA (30 nucleotides) under Cricetulus griseus (Chinese hamster). The record is from RNAcentral. Lineage: Eukaryota; Metazoa; Chordata; Mammalia; Rodentia; Cricetidae.